This is a non-coding RNA of Podarcis lilfordi (Lilford's wall lizard), 69 nucleotides long. The record is from the annotation of a GenBank genome assembly. NCBI's taxonomy places the organism in Eukaryota, Metazoa, Chordata, Lepidosauria, Squamata, Lacertidae.
GGCAUAGCUCAGUGGUAGAACAUCUGCUUUGCAUGCAGAAGGUCUCAGGUUCACUCUCUAGCAUCUCCA